Molecule: long non-coding RNA, 2747 nt
Organism: Lagopus muta (rock ptarmigan)
Lineage: Eukaryota; Metazoa; Chordata; Aves; Galliformes; Phasianidae
Exons: 4
Source: RefSeq, a predicted model, not a curated record
CUUCUGGUUGGAGAUUCCUUUCUUGGGGAGUUUUUUUUUUUCCUGCAAGCCUGGAUGUUCAGAUAUGGAAGUAUUUGAACACGGAAAGAAAGAUGCCUUUACUGUCCUUUUUGAAGAUGUCCAGCAAACUUUUGUAGUAAUUGAAGGAAGAGAUGUACUUCGGCUCCUUUGAAUGGAUUUUCAACUGCAGGAGACAGGAGAGGCUGUUGCUGCUGAACAAUGCUGCUGUUUGGAACCUCAUAGCUGUUCAUCUACAGUGCCUCGUCUGCUUUAGAUGCUCUCAAACACACUGAGCAAUGGUUCUCAACAGGGAAUAACCUGAGAUUAAAGGAGAAGGGAUCAUGUUCUGUGGGGGGAACAACCACAGGAAUUACGUGUGUUUGCAGAACACGCAGUGGUUCAAGCUUUGGAUACUUGAGUCACUUCAGAGCACAGCAUGACUUUCAUUCACACUGUUAUCUCAUGUUUCAAUUCUCUGUGUCAGGAGGACAGAACAUAUUGGUAAACAGAGCAUCUUGUUUUCUACAGUGGAAAAGAUAAAUCUGUAGUGUUGUAACACAGACAGCUAAAGCUUGCUUGGCAUCGAUAAUCCCGAACAAUAUCUGUCAACCAGAAAUCACGCACAAAAGAAGUCUGCUACCUGCAAUUGGAAGACGUAGUCAGUGAUGCCCUGUCCCAGCACUGAGCCACAAAUGGAAAUGGAGCACAGUCUACAGAAUGGUACGGGCUGAGAUAAGUGAGGUGGUGUUGUAAUAAACACAUACUUGGACAAAAUUGCUGUUAGAGUUUGCAUUUUUUUAAAGACCAAUUCAGUUCCUGCCACCGAUGAAAAUGUGAAAAGCUAGCCUUAGCUGGGCUUUCUGUAAUUGCUUGGUAACCUUCUGGGUUAUUGUAGGGAUUGGGAUUGCAGUUUCUUUUGUAGCAGUAUCAUCCCUCCUCUCUCUCCCCAUUUUAUGAUGCAAGUAUCUUUGCUCCUUUACGUUAUUGCUUUUAUGUGCAUACAAAGAACCAAUUCCUCAGAGUAGUAAAUAAAAACCUGCAGGGAAGAUAUUCACUUUUAUUUACUUACUUACUUGGUUUGACAUUUUCAUGUGAAUAAACUACUGUACCAGCACUGAGUUGAUCUCAUGCAAGUUUACAAAGGAAAAAAAUUAAUUUGAUUGACAUGAUGAAGAAGUGAAAGAAAAUAAUGGAAGCCAACCUACAGGGGAAAGGAUUUAGCUUUUUUUUUUUAUUCAUUCUAAAAAUCGUAUAUACUGGUGAGUUCAAAGAAAAUUAAGUUGCAGUUAGCAGUAUUAGUUGCUAAUGAAAUACAUUAUUUCCUGAUUUAUCAGAUUAUUUUGUUACCCUUUAUAAGGUGACAUGAAGAAAAUGUGAGCGUACAAAUUAUUUUUUUCUUUUUAUGGUGGAGUGAUUCUUGUUAUUCUUGCUGUUUCUAGACGCUGGGAAGAGUUAUCAGUCUUGAAUUUGCCUCAGAUCACAAGACCAAGUCACCAAGUGUUCUGUCUUUGUAUACUUGAUAGGAGAGUAAAUCAUAUCCAGUGAAUUAAUUGUAAAGGGUACAUUAAUUGUCAUGUAAGUGUGGUUAAAUUGUAUUAAUUCAAUUUCCAAAACCUAUCUCCUACUAAAUCUGUUCUGGAUUUGUGCAUUCUUCCUGCCUCUGUGGUGUCUUCCCUCUAAUUCCUUCAAAGUCAGUUCUGCUACAAAUAUUUAUGCAUCACAGAGAAAACCAAGGUUACUUUAUAGAGCAAUAUCUAAGACUCAUUUGUAUCCUUUGGAUCUCCACAACAGGAGUAUAAGGUUUUGAUGCAAUAAAUUUUUAUAUUUAGUAAGUAUUUGGCACAACUCUGGAGAUGAUUUUUAUAAGAGCUUUGGGGAUAAAAAUAUGAAUAAUCCAAAUUAUUAAUUGAAAUAUUACUUUCUGUAGAAUAUAUGGUUCAAGUUCUCUGUGCGCUGUGGUGAGAUAUCUUUUUACUUGGGCUUAGGCUGUCCUAACAGUAUGAGUGCAUGACACUGUGUGUUAGUUUUGCACGAGGAAGUUAAUGCGAAGAAAGGAAUGCCAGAACAUGCAACAGCUCAGUACUGCUUAGAAAACCAUCUAGUCUUAGAAUAAUAUAGGCUGCAACAUUUAGAUACCACUUGAAGCUUUCAAGGGUUCAGAGUGUUAAUUUCAAUUGCUUACUGAGUGAAUAAAAUUAUACUGUAAAAUAAAAUAGGAAUUUCUUCUGAAGUAUUAAGAUGCAUUGUAUUUCAGAUGUGUACUGCAUAAUUAAUCUUAUGCUGGAACUUUGAAAAUAUUUUUGAAUUAAUAAAUCUGAACGUUCGCUCAGUUGGAGCGACUACAAAUAUUACAAAUUUAUAGACUUUUCUAUCGACGAUUACAAAUAUAUCGACUACAAAUGCUCCUUGCCAGAGUGUAACGUUAGUUGGCUUAUUAUAGAUCAAAGUAGACAAUAAAGCAUAUUCAGACCUUCCUGAAUUUCAGAAAUGCUGAGUUAUGUGGCAGUUAGGUCCAUCUCUACUCUCUAUAUACUCUAGUAUAUCAGGUUGGCACUGGCCUGGAAAUAACUUGUUUCAUUACGACACAUUUACAGAGAAUAGUAAUAAUAUUCAUAAAAACAAUCAAUAAAGAAAUCAACCUAAUUUCUCUGUAGAAGAAAAUUCCUAAUUAAGCUGUAUGUGUUUGGGGAACUCGAAUUUGGCUGUGACUCUCAGAAUUAUGGUACUGGAUGCUGACUGAGACAGUU